Callithrix jacchus (white-tufted-ear marmoset) is the source of this 1162-nucleotide long non-coding RNA. RefSeq lists it as uncharacterized. The record is from RefSeq and is a predicted model, not a curated record. NCBI's taxonomy places the organism in Eukaryota, Metazoa, Chordata, Mammalia, Primates, Cebidae.
UUCACUCGUGUGACCUCAUUUUCCCUGGAUGGCCAGACACGAGCUCAGGAGCUACGAGUGAAGAUACAAAAUGCUGUCGCACUGACCCUUUGCCCUCACUGGCGGCUGGAGGGCAUCCGCCCCACGCGAUGAGGCAAAGGGCCCACCGAGCUGUUAACACUUCAGCCAUUCACGGAUGGCAGCGCUGAAAGCGCGCUGUAACAGCCCUCUGGGCUUCCGGAGUACCUCAGCUGGACACCGCCUCAGGACUCACACAGCGUUCGCUCCUUCCGGCGUAAGUGGCAGCCGGUUCCAGCGCUUACGCUCUCUAGUUCCCGCCUUUCCUGCUCGCACGCUCGCUCCAGCAAGGGCUGAAUAAAUGAGGCCCAGUGCGGAGUCUGCGAGAAGAGGCCGGUCAGGGAAAUAUCCUGCUUCAUCUGGGGGGCUGUCCAACAUUCGUCAGAAGGGAUAAGAUCUAGAUAUGCAGACCAGAGCUAUAAUAAUGCGUGAUAUUAUGGAAGUAGCAGGAUAUUAAGAGGCAGACAAAGAUGUAUGUCAGGAGGUGAAUAAAUAAAGACAGUGAACCAUUCCUUCUACUCUCAGAAGUAAACAAAGCUGGUCAUUAAAGAGAGAUGUGAUCUCACUGUGUUGCCCAGGCUGAUCUCAAAUUCCUGGCCUCCAGCUAUCCUCCUGUCUUGACCUCCCAAAGUGUUGGGUUUACAGGAUUACACAUGAAUCGUAUAUGUGAGGCACUCUAUACCUUCUUCUUUUUUUUUUACCAAAGUCACCUUCAUAAUGGAUGAUAACACAGAACAAGGCAUAACAAGUACUGUUUUUAAAGGAGUUACAUUCAAAUGAGGGAAGAUGUACAAUGAAAACAUGAACACAUAAGACGAUUUGAAAUGAUGAUUAAUAGUACAAAGGACAUAACGCUGGGAAAUGUAGACAGAAACUUUAAGGAUGGAGCAUGGCUGGAAAGACAUUACAUUCAUCCAGGAAAGCCAACUCUGGUGUUACAAAUGCAGUGGCAAACAGCAAGGUACAUGUUAUUCUUGUUUAGAAGAAUAAAAUCAAAUAAUGUGUUUUAACAGUUUACCCUAUGUAUUUAUCAGAGUGGAACCUAGAGGAUUUCAUAUUCAUUGAAAGUUUAGAAGGACUGUAACCCAAUUUGUAAAGUCUCCAU